CCUACGGUGGGCUGCAGUGAGGAAUAUUGGUCAAUGGCCGAGAGGCUGAACCAGCCAAGUCGCGUGAGGGAAGACGGCCCUACGGGUUGUAAACCUCUUUUGUCGGGGAGCAAAGCGAACCACGGGGGGUUCAUGGAGAGUACCCGAAGAAAAAGCAUCGGCUAACUCCGUGCCAGCAGACGAUGUAAUACGGAGGAUGCGAGCGUUAUCCGGAUUUAUUGGGUUUAAAGGGUGCGCAGGCGGAAGAUCAAGUCAGCGGUAAAAUCGAGAGGCUCAACCUCUUCUAGCCGUUGAAACUGGUUUUCUUGAGUGAGUGAGAAGUAUGCGGAAUGCGUUGUGUAGCGGUGAAAUGCAUAGAUAUCACGCAGAACUCCGAUUGCGAAGGCAGCAUACCGGCGCUCAACUGACGCUCAUGCACGAAAGUGUGGGUAUCGAACAGGAUUAGAUACCCCUGUAGUC
This 459-nucleotide ribosomal RNA is filed under the name uncultured bacterium. RNAcentral's name for it is "partial 16S ribosomal RNA". It matches the Rfam family "Bacterial small subunit ribosomal RNA", at positions 338 to 795 of the family's 1533-position model. The record is from RNAcentral.